AAACAGAGGGAGGGAGAGAGAGAUCCACUGACCCUGAACCAUGACAACUGGAAACACACAUAAAUAGCAGGCGGAGCUUUGGAUCCGGAGAAUCCUGGCUAUCCACAGCUGGUGCAGGUGUCCUCAGAUGUGUCCUCAGGCGUGGUGUUACGGUGUCUAGCCCCCCAGGGUCACAGUGGCCGAGUGUUUGAGCUCUACCACGUGCGCACACUCAAACUCUUGGUACAGUUUGACACAGGGCGCUCGUACGCCGACUUUCAGCUCAACACCAGCACUUCAGAUUCCGAGGAUAUCUACUGCUGCCGCUACGACCACAGCGGGUUCAGCAAGUACACCAGGCCCACUCCUCCACCAAGCCCGAACACACCCCCAGCUCCUCCUCAACUCUCGGUCAUACCUCCAGAUGGGUAUGUCCGGCCUGGUCAGGUGGUGGAGUUCCGUUGUCAGGCCCCGCCCACCCUUGCUCCUGUAUCAUUUGUCCUCCAGAAACAACAAAACAUGAUCCACUCCCAGAAUCCUCAGUUCAAGGUGGGGCCAGUGGGCGUGGCUGAUGGGGGCAUGUACAGCUGCUUCUACAUAUUUAACCUAUCAGAGGGAGUUCAAAAGUCUGUCCCCAGCGCACCUGUCUAUGUUAAUGUAGGAGUUAAGCUCCCAGCUCCGCAGUUAUCUCAGCGGGCAGAGGGGGCGCUAGUGUGCAUCGGGUCACCCUCCUACCCUGGUGCUUAUUUCUCCCUGUUCCAACAGGGUUCCUCAUCACCGAUAGCAACACAACACGCCCCCAAGAUUGAACACACCGUGCAAUUCACUGCAUCAGGGCAGCACUCGGAAGGAAGCAUGUACCAAUGUCAGUACAGUGUGCUGCUGGGUAAAAACUGGAUACAUUCUGAACUCAGCUCCCCCAUCGUACUGCAAUGUGUUACAGGAUCUCCUUCCUGCAGCUCAUCUUCUACAGAUAACCAUCCUCCACAUA
Molecule: long non-coding RNA, 970 nt
Organism: Ictalurus punctatus (channel catfish)
Lineage: Eukaryota; Metazoa; Chordata; Actinopteri; Siluriformes; Ictaluridae
Source: Ensembl